UUAGCGGCGGACGGGUGAGUAACACGUGGAUAACCUACCUAUAAGACUGGGAUAACUUCGGGAAACCGGAGCUAAUACCGGAUAAUAUUUUGAACCGCAUGGUUCAAAAGUGAAAGACGGUCUUGCUGUCACUUAUAGAUGGAUCCGCGCUGCAUUAGCUAGUUGGUAAGGUAACGGCUUACCAAGGCAACGAUGCAUAGCCGACCUGAGAGGGUGAUCGGCCACACUGGAACUGAGACACGGUCCAGACUCCUACGGGAGGCAGCAGUAGGGAAUCUUCCGCAAUGGGCGAAAGCCUGACGGAGCAACGCCGCGUGAGUGAUGAAGGUCUUCGGAUCGUAAAACUCUGUUAUUAGGGAAGAACAUAUGUGUAAGUAACUGUGCACAUCUUGACGGUACCUAAUCAGAAAGCCACGGCUAACUACGUGCCAGCAGCCGCGGUAAUACGUAGGUGGCAAGCGUUAUCCGGAAUUAUUGGGCGUAAAGCGCGCGUAGGCGGUUUUUUAAGUCUGAUGUGAAAGCCCACGGCUCAACCGUGGAGGGUCAUUGGAAACUGGAAAACUUGAGUGCAGAAGAGGAAAGUGGAAUUCCAUGUGUAGCGGUGAAAUGCGCAGAGAUAUGGAGGAACACCAGUGGCGAAGGCGACUUUCUGGUCUGUAACUGACGCUGAUGUGCGAAAGCGUGGGGAUCAAACAGGAUUAGAUACCCUGGUAGUCCACGCCGUAAACGAUGAGUGCUAAGUGUUAGGGGGUUUCCGCCCCUUAGUGCUGCAGCUAACGCAUUAAGCACUCCGCCUGGGGAGUACGACCGCAAGGUUGAAACUCAAAGGAAUUGACGGGGACCCGCACAAGCGGUGGAGCAUGUGGUUUAAUUCGAAGCAACGCGAAGAACCUUACCAAAUCUUGACAUCCUUUGACAACUCUAGAGAUAGAGCCUUCCCCUUCGGGGGACAAAGUGACAGGUGGUGCAUGGUUGUCGUCAGCUCGUGUCGUGAGAUGUUGGGUUAAGUCCCGCAACGAGCGCAACCCUUAAGCUUAGUUGCCAUCAUUAAGUUGGGCACUCUAAGUUGACUGCCGGUGACAAACCGGAGGAAGGUGGGGAUGACGUCAAAUCAUCAUGCCCCUU
This 1125-nucleotide ribosomal RNA is filed under the name Staphylococcus aureus. RNAcentral describes it as "bacterial SSU rRNA". It matches the Rfam family "Bacterial small subunit ribosomal RNA", at positions 92 to 1203 of the family's 1533-position model. Lineage: Bacteria; Bacillati; Bacillota; Bacilli; Caryophanales; Staphylococcaceae. The record is from RNAcentral.